Molecule: long non-coding RNA, 983 nt
Organism: Larimichthys crocea (large yellow croaker)
Lineage: Eukaryota; Metazoa; Chordata; Actinopteri; Sciaenidae
Exons: 4
Source: RefSeq, a predicted model, not a curated record
AAAGAAAUCUAAAAAUACAUGGAAGUCAAACUUUAUUUGUCAGCUUUGAUGGAGUGAACAUACAAAGUCCACACAGAAAACCGAGAGGUUUAAACCAGAAACCUUCUUGUGAGGUGACGGUGCUAACCACUGCACCACCGUGCCAUGGAAUUUAAUGAAAUCAGAGAGGACGAGGCUCCUGAAACAAAGGCCAGGCUAAAAAGAUGAUUCAGUAAACCAAAAACAUUUCCAUCUGUAGGGUCCAUCCGUCACCCUCCCUCUCUUUAGUGCUGGAGGUGCAGGCGGCGAGAGAUCCGGAUGUUCACCACCGGGAAGUCUUCAAACUGCUGUCCUGCGGCUGGACACGAAUGGAACUUUUUGACCAAUACAACCAGCUCUGCAGUGGCCACUGGAGGGCGCCAGUGCGCAGUCUGCCUAUUAGACCCUCUUUAAACCUGGCUCAGCUCAACUCAGUACCCCAGGUGGGCAACAUGGAGCUGUGUUUACGUUUGGUCAAUGGACGAGAUGGAGAUGUGCAGACUCUGGCAAAGCCUGACCCCACCAACACCACUCACUAUAUCUAGCUGUGGUGUCCUCACAUCCUGUGACUGUCCACGGAAGAGCCGCUCUGUCCCUUUCAGUGCCACAGCACACUGGAGGGGAUCAACUGUCCUCCCUUUUGCCCUGGACUGAUCACCAGGACCCUCAUACCACAGAGGCCAGGCAGAGCUGAAAACAUCCGAUUACUGUGUGAAGUAUAAAUGACAAUGAGAGCCUUUACGUUCCUUAUGCUGAAGUUGAAUCGUGCACGAGCUACAGAAGUUUGGUUAUGCAAGAAAUGCUCUUAGAUUGAGUAGCAGCAACCGUCAUGCCUGGAAAAUGAAGCCAAUGCCGAAGUGCCAAAACUAAUUCUUCGAGCGGCCACAGAAAAUUUCAAUCUCCGUAAGUCCCCAUGUUCAAAUGUCCAACUUCACAGCAGAAAUAAACAUGUUUACAGCCUGGUA